RNAcentral lists this long non-coding RNA (480 nucleotides) under Brassica napus (rape). RNAcentral describes it as "long non-coding RNA (BNAP_LNC001095)". The record is from RNAcentral. Lineage: Eukaryota; Viridiplantae; Streptophyta; Magnoliopsida; Brassicales; Brassicaceae.
GGGUUACUAACAUUUUACUAUCUUUAAAUUUUCGAUUUAACGUAUCAUAUCUUGUUGAGAAUAAUAUUUCUACGUUUAUAAGUAACAAAUGUUAAGGGCUAGAUUGUUGGUGCUGUAAUUUUUUUUUUUUGCUUUAGAAAUUAGGCUGUGAUUUUUAUAGCUAUAGAUUUUUUUUUAUGUUGUAGAUUUAUUUCUGAAGAAAUCCAAAACACUUUUUUCAAAAAAAUAACAUCCAAAGCACUAAAUAAAUAAACGUUGUAGAAAACUCGAUUUUUAAAGCCAAUAUAUUUAUUUUUCUAAUUUUUUUGAUAUAGAUUUAAUUUUAAAACUAAAGCAUCAUGCUUUAUAAAAUAAAUUAGAAAAAAUGUGUCAUCAACUUAAAUUUUAAGUUCAUAGUGAUUCCGUAAACCACAUGGAUAGUUUCCAAUUCAUGUGAAUAACAAAAAAUGAUUGUUUCAUAACACUCAAAUCACUUACCAA